This is a long non-coding RNA of Mustela erminea (ermine), 1524 nucleotides long. RefSeq lists it as uncharacterized. The record is from RefSeq and is a predicted model, not a curated record. The transcript is spliced from 4 exons. Lineage: Eukaryota; Metazoa; Chordata; Mammalia; Carnivora; Mustelidae.
GGGGGUUCACUUCCGGCGGCAGGAAACGAAGCCAUGCUCAGGAAGAAGCUGGGACUCUACAACGGGCUCUGCAGGCCCACGUGACGUGUGCCCCGUGGCCCCUCCUCACACCCCGUUCCAGGGGCUUCUCCACCUCUGUGGGCUCCAUCCUGCCUCAGCAGCCACGUGUGGCCUGAGAUGUGGCAAGUGCAAGUGGAGACACGCUGUCCAUGGAAGGUCUAGGCCGGGUUUCCGAGUCUUAAUAGAAUACAACCUCCCACAGUGACUGUUUUCCGUACUGACGGCAGGCCGAAAUCAUCGUGCGGACGUGAUGGGUUAAGUAAGACACAUUAUUGCUAACUUUGCCCCCUUCCUUUUUACUGUCCGUCUGCUUACUAGAACGUUUAAAAUCACUUCUGUGGCUUGUCCUGUUAGUGCUACUGUGGAGUGGUACGUGUGAGAACACAGCAGCAACAAGGGACAAGGUGACGUGUCGGGGGGAGUGUGAGUGCGGUGUGUUUGCGAGGCUUCCCAGAGGACGGCUGCCCGAACUUAAGAGAGCCAGGGACGGGGAGUGGGGGAGGGGCGGACCCUACAGAAACGGGGAGCUCAGAUGGUGCCUUGGAGGGCGGGGAGCCACAGACGGGGGAGCGCGAGGGGUACCUGGAGGUCCAGCAGCCCCGUCAGCAGGGCCUUCCCAGCAUGCGCUGCAUUGUUCAGCAGGUCCUCCCGCUUGAUGAUGUUGAUGACCUCGGCCAGCAGCAGGUUCUUGGACGGGUCCCCCAGCCAGGUGUUAAAGAUCCGGUAUGGCUGGAACGAGGCCCAGGGUGUUGGAAGGGUUCAUACACGGGCACACCCUGGAGGGGCCCCACUUCCUUCAGACACGUGUCCGUCUUGGGAGGAGAGAAACCGGACCAACGAGCAUCUACCAAGGCCCGGGAGGAACUGAUACAUGAUGGCUGGAGCUCCAGCAGUGAUCUUGGAUCAUAAGGCAAUCUUGAGGGUGGAAAGCACAUGCAGGAAUAGCGGAAGAAAAGAUCCCGGGCCCCUGAUGACUGUGUGUGUAUGUGUGUGUAUGAGAACCCCUAUGUAUAUUUGGCAGUACAGUGUACUGGUUUAGAGCAUGGGCUCCUCAUUUGAAUCCUGGCUUCGUCACUUAACAGGCUGUAUGAACUUGGACAGUUUAAUUAACCUCUCCAUGCCUGGUUUUUCGUUGGCAAAAUAGGAGAGAAAAAUAACACCUACUUGGUUAGAUUGUUUUAAGGAUUAAAAGGACCUGAGAAGUACUUAGAAUGGGGCCAGGCACAGAGCACGUGCUCAGUUCAAAGCAGCGGCUAGUAACAACAUUAUCCUAUGGGCAGGAGACUGACAGUGGGCUCUGAGGAAGUUGCCCCGCACAAAGCUGGGUGAUCAUAACCACUGGUUAAUUACACUGGUAAGAAGUGGGUGUCAGGGGCCUUAUGUGACCUGGUCGGUGUCCACUCAGCUCCUGGUUUGGAGAAAGGAGUGGCGGGGAGCCAGGGUGGGUGGCUACUCACAGCAUUG